RNAcentral lists this ribosomal RNA (118 nucleotides) under Scophthalmus maximus (turbot). The record is from RNAcentral. Lineage: Eukaryota; Metazoa; Chordata; Actinopteri; Pleuronectiformes; Scophthalmidae.
GCUUACGGCCAUACCAGCCUGAAUACGCCCGAUCUCGUCUGAUCUCGGAAGCUAAGCAGGGUCGGGCCUGGUUAGUACUUGGAUGGGAGACCGCCUGGGAAUACCAGGUGUGUAAGCA